CUGCCCAUAAGACUGGGAUAACUCCGGGAAACCGGGGCUAAUACCGGAUAACAUUUUGAACCGCAUGGUUCGAAAUUGAAAGGCGGCUUCGGCUGUCACUUAUGGAUGGACCCGCGUCGCAUUAGCUAGUUGGUGAGGUAACGGCUCACCAAGGCAACGAUGCGUAGCCGACCUGAGAGGGUGAUCGGCCACACUGGGACUGAGACACGGCCCAGACUCCUACGGGAGGCAGCAGUAGGGAAUCUUCCGCAAUGGACGAAAGUCUGACGGAGCAACGCCGCGUGAGUGAUGAAGGCUUUCGGGUCGUAAAACUCUGUUGUUAGGGAAGAACAAGUGCUAGUUGAAUAAGCUGGCACCUUGACGGUACCUAACCAGAAAGCCACGGCUAACUACGUGCCAGCAGCCGCGGUAAUACGUAGGUGGCAAGCGUUAUCCGGAAUUAUUGGGCGUAAAGCGCGCGCAGGUGGUUUCUUAAGUCUGAUGUGAAAGCCCACGGCUCAACCGUGGAGGGUCAUUGGAAACUGGGAGACUUGAGUGCAGAAGAGGAAAGUGGAAUUCCAUGUGUAGCGGUGAAAU
RNAcentral lists this ribosomal RNA (576 nucleotides) under Bacillus thuringiensis. RNAcentral's name for it is "bacterial SSU rRNA". It matches the Rfam family "Bacterial small subunit ribosomal RNA", at positions 126 to 687 of the family's 1533-position model. The record is from RNAcentral. Lineage: Bacteria; Bacillati; Bacillota; Bacilli; Caryophanales; Bacillaceae.